Xyrichtys novacula (pearly razorfish) is the source of this 1898-nucleotide non-coding RNA. Lineage: Eukaryota; Metazoa; Chordata; Actinopteri; Labriformes; Labridae. The record is from the annotation of a GenBank genome assembly.
GCCAUGGGGUGUAGAUUGGCCUCAGCAAAUGUGGUGCCUUUGGAACGAAAGCCUUCGGAGGAGUUAGCGAAAUUCCAAUGUGUGCGGAUCGGCAAAAAAUGCGAAAUAGCCCUUUCACCGUACAUUUGACAGAUACGCCCGCACUGACUUUUUUGUAGAUCUUAUUGAGAUACAUGUGUGUGUCAAUUUUUGUGUCAAUAUGACAAAGCGUAAAGGCGUGACAGUCAAUAGUGUGAAUUUUCGCCUUAGGAGACAAGAAAAAAUGGACUUUUUUCUCCUGCCAUGGGGGGGCGCUCUUUUGGGGAGUAAAAAUUCCUUCACAAAUGUGUUGAUGGCUGGACAUUGCAUCAUCCUAGAAAACUUGGAGGCCAGUGAGGACAAAAAUAAAAAGUUAUAAGACUUUUAAGAAUGUGGAUUUCUGGGUUAUCUUUGGCGCCCCCUAGAACGUAAACCGUGGGAUGCAGCGUCAUGAUUUGUACAACUUUUAAUGGCCAUGGGGUGUAGAUUGGCCUGAGCAAAUUUGGUGCCGGUGGAACGAAAGCCUUCGGAGGAGUUAGCGAAAUUCCAAUGUGUGCGGAUCGGCAAAAAAUGCGAAAUAGCCCUUUAACCGUACAUUUGACAGAUACGCCCGCACUGACUUUUUUGUAGAUCUUAUUGAGAUACACGUGUGUGUAAAAUUUUGUGUCAUUUUGACAAAGCGUACAGGCGUGACACUCAAUCAUGUGAAUUUUUCACCUUAGGGGGCGCUAUGGAGCCAUUUUGCAUUUGAUUUUUUGGGCGACUUCAGAAUAUCGAAUUUUUCACCAGGCCCGGUCGUCCUGCCAAAUUUCAUGACUUUUCACCAGUGGGAAGUGGGCCAUUUUCCAGUUCAAAGGGGCAGAAAAAUAAUAACUAGGGCCCCGUUGGGGCACUGGCGGGCCCGAGCCGUGUCGCGCUGCCCCCCCCAAUGCGCUGCCUCCCCGUCCCAUUCGCGUCCUCUCUGGUAACGCCCAUCACUGCAAAGACCCUUUCCUUCAUCGGCGUUUGCUGUUGUUCCUGCCAGUGCGUGUUGCUUUCACUUACACUUGCCACAGCCAGCCUCGUGAGUGCCUAGCCUAUUGGAUAUCACUGUCAUCUACACAGGACAGUCAUAACCUUUCUAUUAAUACUUUGUUUUUUAAUUUCACAUUAAUUUCCAUAUUGUAUAAAUGACUGGAAAAAACUUGAGCCCCUGCCCCUGUAUAAUCAUGUGCACGUCCCUGUUCUAGCUCCAAGGUGAAUCUUCACUGCUCAUGUUCUCCUCAGAAAUAGUCACCUCACUCCCCUCAGGUUACUGUACACAUGCACCAACUAUCUGCUUCAGGUUUGGAUGGAGCUUCAUGGUUGUCUUUUGGAGAAAUGACCAGUCAAGUUGUGUUUGAAAUUUGAUUUUUUUCAGGGGCAAAAGGAAGCCUCUGCAUUCUUGUCAAAUAUGUAAACAGCAUGUUUUUGCAGGUGCUAAAAAACAGACUCUGAGUGUGUGUGUGUGUGUGUGUGUGUGUGUGUGUGUGUGUGUGUGUGUGUGUGUGUGUGUGUGUGUGUGUGUGUGUGUGUUGGCGUGUGUGUAUAUGUGUGUGUAUCCUGCAGUACUCUGUACUCCUGCAGUGGCCAAAAAGACUUUUAAGAAUGUGGAUUUUUGGGUCAUCUUUGGCGCCCCCUAGAACUGCAGUACUCUGUACUCCUGCAGUGGCCAAAAUGACUUUUAAGAAUGUGGAUUUUUGGGUCAUAUUUGGCGCCCCCUAGAACGUAAACCGUGGGGUGCAGCGUCAUGAUUUUUACAACUUUGAAUGGCCAUGGGGUGUAGAUUGCCCUGAGCAAAUUUGGUAUCAGUGGGACGAAAGCCUUAGGAGGAGAUAGCCACAUUCCAAUAUGUGCGAAUC